Molecule: long non-coding RNA, 1874 nt
Organism: Megalobrama amblycephala (Wuchang bream)
Lineage: Eukaryota; Metazoa; Chordata; Actinopteri; Cypriniformes; Xenocyprididae
Exons: 4
Source: RefSeq, a predicted model, not a curated record
UCCAGUAUAAAAUCAGGAAGCAUACGCAAAGUUAAACUAAACUGUCUGCAGCUACUGAAUAACAUGAUUCUCACUCUGGAUCUUUAUUUCUGCAGGUUUUUUAUUAUAUAUUCAAUGUGAUUUUAACUAUGGAUUGUUCUACAUCUCUCUUCUCACAGACAGAAACACAUAAAGACAGAAAAGUGUGAAAACAUGAAGCUCGUCAGACGGAGCAGCAGCAGUAACAGACCAAACUUCUCUGUUGAUCCAGUCAGAGCUGCAAAGUGUCGUUCUAAUGAAUCAAAUAUGAUCAAACAUGAGUGUCAUGUGAUCCAGAUGAGCCUGUCAAGAUUGAUUCUGAUGUUGAAACUGAGAUUCUCUCAUCAAAACCCUUCAUCAUGUUCUCAAGAACACACAACAUCACUGACGUCCAGAUACCAGCAGCUGAAGACCUGAAAAUCUUCAUCUUCUUCAUCAUCAUCAUCAUCAUCAUUAUCAUCAGAACACAGCACCUGGAUUGUUAAUGUGGAGCAGCGUAUCAAAUGAAAGAAUAAAUCCUUUAGUUUAAAGAUGCUCAUGUGAAUAACUUUUAUAUAGUUGUGUUGACACGACUUUCUUUUCCUCACCUGGAUUCCUCCACAACGUGUGACAUUCUGAAUCAACACUUUAUCAUCUCUAUACUGUAAUGAAAUCGUUGCUUUACUGUGAUUAUUGUUUCUGUGAUGUUAACUACUUUAUGAGAAGUUUUUGUAAAGGAAAUCAAACAUCAUAUUAUUGAAGUCAAACAGUGUUGAUCUAAAGUAUGACUUGUGCUGUUUUGAUAUUAUUGUGAAGGUUUGAAUGAAGAUCUCUUCAGUUCCAGCUUUAAUAUCCUAAAGCAGGCUGUGAUUGUGCUUUUAUUGAUGGAGUUUAUGACAGAAUGACUUUUAUUCUCCAGUUUCUGUCGUUUCACACAGAAGAUCUGUUUCUCUUUCUGACAGAAUCAUUUCUGUUCUUACCAGAGACUGUGUUUCUGAUUCAUCUGUCAGCAGAUCAUCAUGAUGAUGAUGAUGAUGUUUCAUAUCAAGCUCAUCUUCAUCAUCUCCUAAUGGAAGAAUAUAUUCAUAAACUCAUAUCAGUCAUAAAUACACUACAAUGAGUCUCUUUAUAAUACAUUUUCCUCAUUUAAAAGCUACUGAAAGGUGUAUUUUCAUCAUUACUAGAUGUAAGAUCAUUUCAAUUUAACUUUUAACAGUUCAAAACAAUAUCUACUGAGAGAAUAUGAUUCCAGAUGCAGCCAUACUGUUUCCAGAGGUUAAAUUUACAACUCAGUCAAUAAUCUCAUUAUUAUUUGAGUUGAUAACUGAAUGAUAUUUAAAUAAAUUAAACUGAAGUAAUGUCAUAAAUAUGUAUCAGAUUGUGUUUUAUAUUUCUAAUAACACACAGAAUAUUGAGUGCAGUUUCCAUCUCUGUCCACUAGAUGUCAGCAGUAGAUUUGAGGCCUUUAGUUUCAGAUUCAGAGACAGUGAAGAGAAAUCAGAGAUCUGAUCUGAAGCUGAAUGAGGAUCAUCAUGUGUCACAUAUGAAGCUCAUCUGGAUCACAUUAUAUUACAGGAUCAGAUUCAUGAGAUCAUUAAAUAUGAGCAGAUUUUAAAAAAGGACACUAUCAUGAAAACAGAUUGAUAUCAGACGAGUGUGAACAGAAUAAUGUCUGAAAGAUCAUGUGACACAAUGAAGACCGUUUGAAUGUGUAGUUCUGCUGUGAUGGAAACUAUGGACUCAUAUUCAUGAUAAUGUUCUGCUGACAGAAGAGAUUCAAUAAGACAACAAACCUACAAUGAUCAAUAGAGAAAUAAUAGAGAAACAGGUGGAGAAAUAGAAAUCAAUCAUCUGGAGAAUUCAUCUAAUCUUCACAG